This 129-nucleotide small RNA is filed under the name Aeromonas taiwanensis. Its description in RNAcentral is "RtT sRNA". It matches the Rfam family "RtT RNA". From Rfam's summary of the family: This family represents a bacterial cis-regulatory element known as RtT RNA. The exact function of RtT is unknown although it is thought that it may be involved in changing the cellular response in relation to amino acid starvation. Lineage: Bacteria; Pseudomonadati; Pseudomonadota; Gammaproteobacteria; Aeromonadales; Aeromonadaceae. The record is from RNAcentral. RNAcentral also lists the same sequence under 1 other name.
UCGCUCAGAACUUCGGGAGGGUGAGAACCCUCGCCGGGUUCGUGCAGAGUAGCUGGCUGCGAUGAACGGCCGGGGGCCGCCCCGAAGGAGUGAGUCACGCAGUGGUGAAUCAUUCCUCCCUCACCGCCA